This 450-nucleotide long non-coding RNA is filed under the name Numida meleagris (helmeted guineafowl). RNAcentral describes it as "lncRNA (ENSNMEG00000016819.1)". Lineage: Eukaryota; Metazoa; Chordata; Aves; Galliformes; Numididae. The record is from RNAcentral.
CUGACAUGAAGCACCUACAAGAGAUACAGCUUGCCUGACCUAAUUAUCCUGGCUCCAGUAACAACUAGUGAAAGAGUCUGGCCAGCACCCAAGUGUGAUUCAUCCCUGUGUAAGCUGGGUCUCUGUGCAGGUCAAUUGCAUUGUCAUUGCAUCUCAUGGAAGGCAAUCUGAGCCAGUUACUAAAAAGGAGAGUUCAGCUGAGGUUACACUACAGAAAGAACAAUGUAACCCUCUUCAUCCUAAUGUGACUAAGGACUGGAAGUCUGAAUAGGAGCAAUCAUCCAAAAGCACUACUGUCAGUCUAACUUUGCAAUUUUGGUUGAAGAUCUUUCCUGUAGGCUACAACAAUACUGAGACUGGGUUAAAGAUUUUGUCUUAGGCUCUUUUUUAGUUUUGUAUCAAAUGCUAUCAGUAUGGUAUCUCUGCACUGCAAGUAUGAUUUCCUCAAAG